This 354-nucleotide unclassified non-coding RNA is filed under the name Hevea brasiliensis (rubber tree). The record is from RNAcentral. Lineage: Eukaryota; Viridiplantae; Streptophyta; Magnoliopsida; Malpighiales; Euphorbiaceae.
CGCCUGAAAGGAUUAACCCUUGAAAUUGCAGUAAAAAAUUCAACAAUGAAAUGAAGUUUUUAACAUGGAAUGACCCUUGAAACUGAGCAUGGAAUACAUCAGAACCAACAAUCCCAUGUAUAGAAUCAUGUUAUUUGACGGCAAGAUGAGCGAGCCGUCGAAAUCAGGAAUUUGGUGUUUCCUAGUUCAUAUAGAGUUAAAAUAAAGAACAUUAGAGGAGAAAGAAUGUACAAUUGGAAAUGAAAGGUAAUCAAACAUCAUCUGCAUCACUUCCACCAACAUGUGCUUCAUGAUUCAUCCAAUAACUGCUUCCAUCAGGACCAGCUACCUUAAACCGCUCGAGAACAGAUUUUC